Long non-coding RNA from Culex quinquefasciatus (southern house mosquito), 219 nucleotides. RefSeq lists it as uncharacterized. The transcript has 2 exons. The record is from RefSeq and is a predicted model, not a curated record. Lineage: Eukaryota; Metazoa; Arthropoda; Insecta; Diptera; Culicidae.
UUCCAAAGUUAUAAGUUUAAUUUGUAUCGAAUAAAAUUGUGUUAUAUUAAGUGAAAAAAACAGAUUCACAAGCAUGACGGAACCCAGACAAACCAAAGGAUUGAAAUGGGUUGAAAAAUGCUGCGGCCACCAAGUAUGAACCAAAGUCGAGUUCCGAGCUUGUGACAAAUUACAAUUAACUUUAUUUGACAACAAUAAUAAAGGAUUGUUUGCAAAUGA